CACCGGCGGCUCGAGUGGUGGCCACUUUUAUUGGGUCUAAAGCGUCCGUAGCCGGCUUGGCAAGUCCCCUGGGAGAUCUGGCGGCUUAACCGUCAGGCGUCCAGAGGAUACUGCCAGGCUUGGGACCGGGAGAGGUGAGAGGUACCUCAGGGGUAGGGGUGAAAUCUUGUGAUCCCUGAGGGACCACCAGUGGCGAAGGCGUCUCACUAGAACGGGUCCGACGGUCAGGGACGAAAGCUGGGGGCACGAACCGG
Molecule: ribosomal RNA, 254 nt
Filed under: uncultured microorganism
Description: partial 16S ribosomal RNA
Rfam family: Archaeal small subunit ribosomal RNA
Source: RNAcentral